RNAcentral lists this long non-coding RNA (3524 nucleotides) under Homo sapiens (human). RNAcentral's name for it is "non-protein coding lnc-TARS-4:1". Lineage: Eukaryota; Metazoa; Chordata; Mammalia; Primates; Hominidae. The record is from RNAcentral.
GUAGCUGGGACUACAGGCAUGUGCCAGCAUGUCCAGCUAAUUUUUUGUAUUUUUAGUAGAGACAGGGUUUCACCAUGUUGGCCAGCCUGGUCUCGAACUCCUGACCUCAAGUAAUCCUCCCACCUCGGCUUCUCAAAAUGCUGGAAUUACAGGUGUGAGCCACGAUGCCUAGCCCUUUAUGUACACUUUGAAUAAAUGCUGUAUAUAUCAACAUUUAAAGAUUUUAAUACACCCAAUGAACUUUUUUCUUGAUUUAUAAAUUUAUCGAUCCAGUGAAGAUUGGAUUAGUUCAUUUGUAAAUGUUCUGUACUUUUAUACCUAUCUAGUUGCAGGCUAGUAGCAAGCAAUUUUUGGACUGUGUAGGUUCAAAGAAUAUCCUUUGAAUAGCACUAUUUUACAUGCUUUAGAUGUAUUAACUAAUUUAACCCUCACAAUAACUCUACAAGGACAGUAUUAUUAUUAUACUAGUGAAGUAACUAAUAAGUGUUAAAAUUUUGCACUCAGGUUUUGGGACUCCAAGGCCCCUGUUCAUAGCAUGUUGUAGAGGGAAAGAGGGAAAGAGGUAAGAUCAGGUAGAUUUCUUUCGUCUCCUAGAGACCCAGGGUGGAAUGAACAAAUGAACAGGAAGCUGUGAAAACUAGUCUGGGGCAAAAGAGAUGAAGUAGAUUAGGGCAUGGGAUAGAAUUGAGGUGGGCUGUAGUGGUUUAUGUCAUUCAGGACUAAUGGAAGUUACCAGCAAAUUCAAAGAAUCAGAAGUGGGGUCCCAGGCCUAGCUCAGGGGUUGAGAGGAGGCCUGAAUUUACAAAGGUCGUUGUUGCUUAGAAUUGAUUAUAGUCUUCAAAUAGAACAUAAGGAAAAGAAUAUAUGAAAGAGUGCCAUUUGUUCUGUAAAGACAUUCUAACCAAAUGGCUAGUAUGGACAAUUACUUGCAGCUAGCAGAACAAAGAAAGUAAUUGAUCAAAUGCAAUUGAAAGAGAUCCUUGACCUAGCUCUCCAGCCUCCUGCAUAUGUCAUUUAGAAGGGCGACUUGACUCUUAAUAAGUCUUUAUUUCUAGAAAGUUUUUUCUUUUAAGUAACAUGUUUAAUGGGAAGAUAAUAAAAUAUUUUCAAUGCUAUUUUAUUCUCAUGACUUAAAUAAAAACUUCAGGACUUGGGAAAUAUCCCCCUUAUGAUAAAGCAGACAAAGAGGUAAAUGUAUGGAUUUCCUGAAUUGUCUCAUCAAAAGCAGUGUGGGUUAAAAACAGGAGGUGUGGCUGGGCCCAGUGGCUCACUCCUGUAAUUGCCAGCACUUUGGGAGGCCAAGGUGGGUGGAUCACUUGAGGCCAGGAGUUCGAGACCAGCCUGGCCAACAUGGCAAAACUCUGUCUCUACUAAAAAUGCAAAAAAAAAAUUAGCUGGGCGUGGUGGCGCGUGCCUGUAAUCCCAGCUACUCAGGUGGCUGAGACAUGAGAAUUGUUUGAACCCAGGAGAUGGAGGUUGCAGUGAGGCCAAGAUCAUGCCGCUGCACUCCAGCCUGAGGACAGAACGAGACUCUGUCUCAAAAAAAAAAAAAAAAAAAAAAAAAAAAAAACCAACAACAACAAAACAGGAGGUGUUAUUGAAGCUUUUCCUGCCAAAGGCAGAGAGGUAAAAGAAAACCAAGAUGAGCGUGAAGGGCUGUGUGUGUCUGCGGGGGUGUGUGUGUGUGUGCUCUCCGAUUUCCUUCUAGUAAAACUCUCCUAAUCUAACUUGGCUCCAUAGUGAGGCAGACAUUACUGAGAGCAGUAAGUAAUGUGACUAUCUCAAUUCACGGUAGACUCUCAACUUACUUAUAUGUAGACUUUGAAGAGGAUGAGGUUUGGGAGUUGGGUUACAGGUGUCCAUUUAAAAUACUGAACCUACAAUUUCUCCACCUCUGUUCCCUGCAGAGGCAUUUCUGCAGGACAUAGUAUCAGGCCUGGUCCUGAAGUUCUAUUAGAACUCUGCUCUGUCAUCCAGGCUGGAGUGCAGUGGCACAAUCUUGGUGCAUGGCAGCCUUGAACUCCUUGAACUGCCUCAGCCUCCUGAGUAGCUGGGAUAACAGGCAUGAGAGCCACUGAACCCAGCAAUACUUUAUUUAAUAUUAUUUUUAUAUUUAUUUUUGUACUCUGCGAUUCUAAUAAAUGAAUAACACUUUAUUUUAAAAUAGGCUUUGCGUUAGGUUAUUUUGCCUGACCAUAGGCUAAUAUAAGUGUUUAGGGGAGGCUAGGGUAAGCUAUGAUGUUGAAAGGGCUGUGCAUUAAAUGCAUUUUUGAUUUCGGGUGGGUUUAUUGGGACUCAUUCCUAUCAUAUGGUGAGAAGUGUCUGUAUUUUCCCUAUCAAUUUCUAUGUGCUGUGUGUGUGUGUGUGUGUGUGUGUGUGUGUGUGUGUGUGUCUUAGCCAUUGGAGAUUAAGUUGUAGACAUUGUGAAACUUCAUGCUUAAAUACUUCAACAUGUAUCAUUCUAAAAGAAGGACCUUUGUGUAUUUGACCAUAUACCAGUUAAGAAAGACCGAGGCAGUGGAAAUGGUCUGCUCUUGGUGCAGGCAAUAAUUAGGUACAUUUUCCAUAAAGAAUUUUAAAACCAUAAUAAAACCCAACCAUACACUGGCAAUUCUGAAAAUGUUAGUGAUAAAAUACCUCUCCCUAAAAAAGAUUUUGUUGUUGUUUAGGCUGUAAAAAAUUGCUGCUUACUCUUGAAUGACACGUAAGCUUUGUUGGGGCUCAGAAAGCAAUACCUGAAAGACUGGCACUCUGACAUGCUAAGAAGCCUUAGGAGCUGCCUUAUAAUCAAAGCCUUUCUAAACUUGCCUUGUCCCCCUCUCAAGUGGAGAUUCUCUCUGGAAUUUCCUUAUCUGACUAAGAAAGCUUCUUUCCAAAUGACAUGCAGUUGUCUUAAGACCCCUCCCUAAAAAUCUCAUCAAAUAACCAGGCAAGAUCAACCACCCAGAGAAGAGAAGAGACUAGGAGUCCUCAUUACUCCCAGACAGACUUUUCAUCUAUUCUUCUUAGAGAAGUCCUAGAGAUUGCCUGGGGAACCUUAUCUGGAUAAUAAGACAAUCUUUGUUUCUGUGCAGUUCCACCCUUCACAUUCCCAAACAGUCAUUUACUAACCGUUUUCUGAGCACUGGGCCUAUUAAUUCCCCAAUUUUCCUCUUCACUGUGUCACACAGACUUCCUAUCACACUGUUUAGGAUGGAAUGUCAAAUACACUCUUUUAAUUGGAAAGAAAAUGUAAACAAGCUGUAAAGAAAAGAAAACAGGCUGUACAGAAAACACAUUGUAACUCAUUAAAUUGGUAUAGUUCAUAAGCCAGCCUUAUUUAGAGAAUGUUAUAAUCCCACUAAAUUUCUUUGUGUUCUGCCUAUAUAAGCAAGAUCGUAACUUGAGAGCAUUGACCCCAUUUCUCUGGAGUCUGUGUUUCCUGGAUGGUAACUUCCAGCGUUUUACUCAAAUAAACUCAUUAAAACUGAAUUCUGAUCCUUUUGGUUAUUUCAGGUCGAUGGAAAUAAGAAUGUUUUCUUACU